RNAcentral lists this long non-coding RNA (217 nucleotides) under Panax ginseng (ginseng). RNAcentral's name for it is "long non-coding RNA (PGIN_LNC000085)". Lineage: Eukaryota; Viridiplantae; Streptophyta; Magnoliopsida; Apiales; Araliaceae. The record is from RNAcentral.
UACUGCAAAAGGGUUUUGGCAACGACUUUACUGUCGUUGCGUCUUCCGUUGCUCAAUGAGCGUUGCUAAUUGUUCCGCAACGAACGUUUUUUUUUCGUUGCCAAAAGUACUAUAUUUUGCAACGAAAUUUGCCUUUCGUAUAGAGACAUCGAUCCUUUAGCAACAAAAUGUAUUGUUGCAGAAUAAUUAAAAUUUCGUUGCUAAAAACUCCAUUUCG